RNAcentral lists this ribosomal RNA (562 nucleotides) under uncultured eukaryote. RNAcentral's name for it is "SSU rRNA". It matches the Rfam family "Eukaryotic small subunit ribosomal RNA", at positions 1 to 566 of the family's 1831-position model. The record is from RNAcentral.
UCUGGUUGAUCCUGCCAGUAGUCAUAUGCUUGUCUCAAAGAUUAAGCCAUGCAUGUCUAAGUAUAAGCAAUUUAUACAGUGAAACUGCGAAUGGCUCAUUAAAUCAAUUAUCGUUUAUUUGAUAGUUCCUUUACUACAUGGUAUAACUGUGGUAAUUCUAGAGCUAAUACAUGCUUAAAAUCUCGACCCUUUGGAAGAGAUGUAUUUAUUAGAUAAAAAAUCAAUGUCUUCGGACUCUUUGAUGAUUCAUAAUAACUUUUCGAAUCGCAUGGCCUUGUGCUGGCGAUGGUUCAUUCAAAUUUCUGCCCUAUCAACUUUCGAUGGUAGGAUAGUGGCCUACCAUGGUUUCAACGGGUAACGGGGAAUAAGGGUUCGAUUCCGGAGAGGGAGCCUGAGAAACGGCUACCACAUCCAAGGAAGGCAGCAGGCGCGCAAAUUACCCAAUCCUAAUUCAGGGAGGUAGUGACAAUAAAUAACGAUACAGGGCCCAUUCGGGUCUUGUAAUUGGAAUGAGUACAAUGUAAAUACCUUAACGAGGAACAAUUGGAGGGCAAGUCUGGUA